Long non-coding RNA from Ctenopharyngodon idella (grass carp), 2107 nucleotides. RefSeq lists it as uncharacterized. Lineage: Eukaryota; Metazoa; Chordata; Actinopteri; Cypriniformes; Xenocyprididae. The transcript is spliced from 3 exons. The record is from RefSeq and is a predicted model, not a curated record.
UCGGUUGCUGAACAACAACAAAGCUCGCUUGUCACGGUGUUCAGCCUUACAUUGUUGAAACUGGAGUCGGACACCGAUGGAGAGACUCAGGAAGAAGUUACAACUUUUAGAAUGCAACUGGACGUUUCUGAACGAAGAAAGAAAGUCAUAUGGGUUUGGAAUGACAUGGUGGCGAUGAAGAUAUUGAGUGAAUGCAUCACGUUGCGAAAAAGCAAUUGUACCUGCACAUCCCAUUCACCCUCUUCCCAGCAUGCACUCUGGCAUGAAUAACCAGAAUAGCUGUAUUGUAUAAUUAUUUUGUUUACACUGUUGUUGUUGAUUUUGCGUUGUGAUGUCAGGAAGUUUGUUCAUCUACUUAAAAUGAUCUGUUAGUUAAUCUUGUUGUUUCAUGCAAAUUGUUGAUCGCUGUGUUGGCAAGAGUGUUUCCAUGAAUGGUUUAAGUCUCUCGUUACUCAUGUGAUGAGUAAUCAUGUGACAUUUUCAAGAAGCAGUUUUUACUUUACAUUUCUUGAGAUGAGAGAAACAUGAGAUGAACAAUUUAAAACAAUAUAAACAAAGGUAAUUUCAUUUAAUUAAGUUUUAGAUUUUGUUAUGAUGUAUUUGCAGUAUCUCUUUUUUUUUUUUUUUUUUAAGCAGCUCAUUUGAUUGAUAUGCUCAAUUUAAAACAGUUGCCAUUUUAAUUUAAUUUAAUUGUAUUUUAUUUUAUUUCUGGGUGAAAUUUUCAGCUCUGUUCCCAUUAUGGGUUACUUCUAUUACAUUUUGUACAUUUUGAAAAAUUAUUUUUGAUGUUUGUGAUUGCUAGAAAAUCACACAAAUUUAAAACUGUGUUUAGACAUGUUCUUAUUUUUAAUAAAUUGAGUAAUAAAUAAAUAAAAUGGCUCAUCUAAUACAAUCAAUAUUUUUUUAGGGUUAAGGCCAUCUUUUUACUGACCUUUUCUUCUUUUUAUGAUCUAUUUUGCACCUUAUUCUUGAAAAGUGCAUGCCAUGGUCUGUUGGGUUUUGCCUUUCGAAGUGAUCGAUACAUGUGUGCUGAUAUGAAACAUAUGUUGAUGUGAUGUUCCUGUUUGUAAUAUAUUUAAGUGUGUCUGCUGCUCACAUUUCAAAGUUAUGGAAAUGACAAGGUCAUGAGGCUGUUGAGAAUAAUCAAAAACUUUAAAAUUCUUUAUACCAAAGUUGGAAAUUUCAUCACCGUUUCCCAUCGGUACUGAAAGACAUUUCAAGGGUAUGAAUGAAUGUCGGAGAAAAGCUUUCCAAGCUACAACAGCAACAAAUAUCAGAGAACUGGCCAUGAACUGGCUUCAAAGACUAUCCCUCAAAGAGAUGCUGUGUUUGACAACACCAUGUCUGUUUUUUCAAAUCCAUCUUUUUGAUUGACAGUGUCAUCACUUUGAAACACAAGUAAGUCAUUACUGGAACAUGUCAUCUCACCCAGCAGCAUAUGUAUGCAUUUAUACGAACACAUUAUUUGCCCAACCCCCCGUACACUAAGUCCUUGUAUCUUCCUGAUGAACUGUUUUAUUCUCGUGAAUCUUGGGUAUUUUGAUGGACUCAGAAUAGGAGGAUUACUUUGAAGAGGUGUCAUGGAUCAAUAGGUUUUGGUCAACUCAUUCUUAAUGGUUGCGACCUAUUCCACAAAUCACUUUUCAAAUAAACCAAGGUGCCAAGUACAUCAAAACAGUUUCGAUUUGUAGUAAUUAAAUGUCUUUAUUAUAGGGAUUAGAUUAAUUAAUUAAAUAAAUGUCUUUAUGAUAGUCCACUUUAAACAUUCUACUAACUAUAAGUAACUACAAUAACUAACAAUAACUUUGCAAAUACAUUUCAACCAGUCAUUAGUAGACUAUAAUAACUGCUAACAUUUUAUUUUGAUGGUUCGCCAACAGACAUUAUACUGACUAUAAGCAAGUACAUAUCAAUUUAGUCUACUAACCCUAACCUAACAGUCUACUAAUACGCUAAUGAGAGUUAGUUGACUUGUAGUUUCAAAUUAAUGAGUGUUAGUUGACAUUUAGUUGCAAAGUUACCUAUAGUUGGUAGAAUGUCUAAAGUGAACUUUGGAAAUAGAGUGUAACCAGGAAUUCUUUAUAAUUGUCUAUUUUACAAACAGUUU